CUGGGUGUAGCUGACACAGGAGGACCAGUGUUCAUACCUGGGUGUAGCUGACACAGGAGGACCAGUGUUCAUACCUGGGUGUAGUCGACACAGGAGGACCAGUGUUCAUAUCUGGGUGCUGGCUGGGUGUAGCUGACACAGGAGGACCAGUGUUCAUACCUGGGUGUAGCUGACACAAGAGGACCAGUGUUCAUACCUGAGUGUAGUCAACACAGGAGGACCAGUGUUCAUACCUGGGUUCUGGCUGGGUGUAGUCGACACAGGAGGAGCAGGCUGGGUUGUGUUGACAUUCAACUGGUUAGAUAUCUGAGGCCCAGUCCCAGCCUUGCUCCGAACACCUUCCUCCUUCUCCUCCUCCUCCUCCUCACUCUCUCCUUCAGAAGAAGAGGAAGACUUCUCGUCUGAUGAACUGGCGAAGAUGGCCUUGAACAGAUCCAUAGACGGCCUGCUCUCCUCCUCCUCCUCCUCCUCGUCUUUCUGCUCCGUGUCUGGCUGCUCAGUUAGUCAGAAACAUCAUCGAUUAACAACAUGUGACUUACAAAACAUCUGUAUCUCUUACAUCUGUCAACCCUCUACGUUUUACAGUAGACCGUCGACCCUAUCCGGAUUACAGUAGACCGUCGACCCUCUACGGAUUACAGUAGACCGUCGACCCUCUACGGAUUACAGUAGACCGUCGACCCUCUACGGAUUACAGUAGACCGUCGACCCUCUACGGAUUUACAGUAGACCGUCGACCCUCUACGGAUUACAGUAGACCGUCGACCCUCUACGGAUUACAGUAGACCGUCGACCCUCUCCGGAUUACAGUAGACCGUCGACCCUCUCCGGAUUACAGUAGACCGUCGACCCUCUCCGGAUUACAGUGGACCGUCGACCCUAUCCGGAUUACAGUCGACCGUCGACCCUCUACGGAUUACAGUCGACCGUCGACCCUCUACGGAUUACAGUCGACCUUCGGCCCUCUACGGAUUACAGUCGACCGUCGACCCUCUACGGAUUACAGUCGACCGUCGGCCCUCUACGGAUUACAGUCGACCGUCGGCCCUCUACGGAUUACAGUCGACCGUCGGCCCUCUACGGAUUACCGUCGGCCCUCUACGGAUUACAGUCGACCGUCGGCCCUCUACGGAUUACAGUCGACCGUCGGCCCUCUACGG
Long non-coding RNA from Oncorhynchus tshawytscha (Chinook salmon), 1160 nucleotides. NCBI's taxonomy places the organism in Eukaryota, Metazoa, Chordata, Actinopteri, Salmoniformes, Salmonidae. The record is from Ensembl.